CACCUUUAUUAAUUAGUCCUUUGUUGUCGUUAGGUAUAAAAUGCAAUCAGCUGAUUGUUGAUUUUCUGUGCAAAUCUUAAUGAGGUCAAGGUGAAUUCCGAGUAUUUUCUGAUCGGGUAAAGUCCGAGAAACUCGAAAAAAAGUAAAUAAACAAGAUGGAGGAAAAUAAAUCGUUAUAUAUAUUUCUGUCGCCAAAUUCUUUCGCCAAUGACGAAUUUUAAACGCCACAAUUAUUAUUUUUUCGCAAAUUGCGAAAAUGGCGACCGCCAGCGGAAACCCUGUUUA
Molecule: long non-coding RNA, 285 nt
Filed under: Mytilus galloprovincialis (Mediterranean mussel)
Lineage: Eukaryota; Metazoa; Mollusca; Bivalvia; Mytilida; Mytilidae
Source: RNAcentral